Molecule: long non-coding RNA, 389 nt
Filed under: Lotus japonicus
Lineage: Eukaryota; Viridiplantae; Streptophyta; Magnoliopsida; Fabales; Fabaceae
Description: long non-coding RNA (LJAP_LNC000682)
Source: RNAcentral
GAUAACAUGGUUAUUCUCAUACUUCAACUCUGAGUCAGUCCUCUUGGUCCCACCAAAGAAUGGUUGCCGCAAUAUCAACCCUUGAAUCUUCAACGGCUCAAGAUCAUUCACCUCCGCUGAAGCACGUAGACCUACAUGGUAUGCGAUAUUUCCCCCAGCGCUGCUUCCCAUCAGGUAACAAUUAGAGUAAUCAGCAUAUUUUGUCAGCCACUCAUCUUUGCUGGUUCUGAUGCAGUGCAGCGCUUCCAUGGCGUCGUCAUACGCGGCUGGUAACCGGUGCUCCGGCGCGAGGCGGUAUUCGACGGAGGCAACGAUGGCUUGGACAGUUUCCGCCAUUUCCACUAAGAAGCUGUGGAACAAGGUGGAAGCAGCACUGAGCACAAUGAAGC